GACGAACGCUGGCGGCGUGCUUAACACAUGCAAGUCGAACGGAAAGGCCCUGCUUUUGUGGGGUGCUCGAGUGGCGAACGGGUGAGUAACACGUGAGUAACCUGCCCUUGACUUUGGGAUAACUUCAGGAAACUGGGGCUACUACCGUAUAGGAUCUCCCGCUGCAUGGUGGGGGUUGGAAAGUUUCGGCGGUCGGGGAUGGACUCGCGGCUUAUCAGCUUGUUGGUGGGGUAGUGGCUUACCAAGGCUUUGACGGGUAGCCGGCCUGUGAGGGUGACCGGCCACAAUGGGACUGAGAGAGGGAGCAGACUCGUACGGGAGGCAGCAGUGGGGAAUAUUGCACAGUGGGCGGAAGCCUGAUGCAGCAGCGCCGCGGGCGGGAUGACGGCCUUCGGGUUGUAAACCGCUUUCGCCUGUGACGAAGCGUGAGUGACGGUAAUGGGUAAAGAAGCACCGGCUAACUACGUG
RNAcentral lists this ribosomal RNA (468 nucleotides) under uncultured bacterium. Its description in RNAcentral is "partial 16S ribosomal RNA". It matches the Rfam family "Bacterial small subunit ribosomal RNA", at positions 28 to 507 of the family's 1533-position model. The record is from RNAcentral.